RNAcentral lists this transfer RNA (88 nucleotides) under Bacteroides clarus. RNAcentral describes it as "tRNA-Gly". RNAcentral also lists the same sequence under 1 other name. Lineage: Bacteria; Pseudomonadati; Bacteroidota; Bacteroidia; Bacteroidales; Bacteroidaceae. The record is from RNAcentral.
GUGUAAAUAUUUGAUAUACAGUAUUAUAUAUGUGAUAAAAUACAGCUUCCCAAGCUGAGGGUCGCGGGUUCGAGUCCCGUUUUCCGCU